AGAACCAGAACAAGACAAACGUCUCUGUGGACUACUACACAGUUUUGGACAGGACGUUUUAUUUCCUCGCAACUCCUACUACCGAAAGUACAAGCGAACCUACUACGACCAAGGCACCACCGGAAACUAUACAGUCGGACGAUGUUGAUGUGAAGUCUCCUGCUCGCGUGUCCUAAUGGUCCGUGGUAAAGUAGGUUCGAUCUAACACUGGGGAAAUUGAGUACUACGGAUAGGGCAGUUCAGGUUGUAGUCAACUUACAAACUUUGUAACAGGCUGAGUGGAUCUGUGGUGUAUGCUGGAAACAUAGGCGAUUAUAGAAAAGACGUUUAGAGACCAACUCGAUAAGAGAAAGAAAAGCAUUGAAAUAACUACUUUUACGUGGCACAGGUGUAUUUAGAGGCCACACAAGAAUAGAGAUAUACCGUAUGGACAAAAAGAUAGAUGUUCCGACAUAUACACGAAAGGG
This 467-nucleotide ribosomal RNA is filed under the name Triticum aestivum (bread wheat). Its description in RNAcentral is "partial small subunit ribosomal RNA". The record is from RNAcentral. Lineage: Eukaryota; Viridiplantae; Streptophyta; Magnoliopsida; Poales; Poaceae.